GGUUCAUUCAAAUUUCUGCCCUAUCAACUUUCGACGGCUGGGUCUUGGCCAGCCGUGGUGACAACGGGUAACGGAGGGUUAGGGCUCGACCCCGGAGAAGGAGCCUGAGAAACGGCUACUACAUCCAAGGAAGGCAGCAGGCGCGCAAAUUACCCAAUCCCGACCGGGGAGGUAGUGACAAUAAAUACUGAUACAGGGCUCUUUUGGGUCUUGUAAUUGGAAUGAGUACAAUUUAAAUCCCUUAACGAGGAACAAUUGGAGGGCAAGUCUGGUGCCAGCAGCCGCGGUAAUUCCAGCUCCAAUAGCGUAUAUUAAAGUUGUUGCAGUUAAAAAGCUCGUAGUUG
This 344-nucleotide ribosomal RNA is filed under the name uncultured fungus. Its description in RNAcentral is "SSU rRNA". It matches the Rfam family "Eukaryotic small subunit ribosomal RNA", at positions 292 to 636 of the family's 1831-position model. Lineage: Eukaryota; Fungi. The record is from RNAcentral.